UACGGACAUAUCAGGUUGAAACGCCGGCUCUCGUACGAUCAGCGAAGUUAGGCAACAUCGAGCCCGGGCAGUACUUAGAUGGGUAACCACUUGAU
Molecule: non-coding RNA, 95 nt
Organism: Acanthosepion pharaonis
Lineage: Eukaryota; Metazoa; Mollusca; Cephalopoda; Sepiida; Sepiidae
Source: the annotation of a GenBank genome assembly